This 253-nucleotide ribosomal RNA is filed under the name uncultured bacterium. RNAcentral's name for it is "partial 16S ribosomal RNA". It matches the Rfam family "Bacterial small subunit ribosomal RNA", at positions 524 to 776 of the family's 1533-position model. The record is from RNAcentral.
UACAGAGGCCCCGAGCGUUAGGCGGAAUCACUGGGCUUAAAGCGUGUGUAGGUGGAUGCCUAAGUGUUUUGUGAAAUCCCACGGCUUAACCGUGGAAUUGCUUGACAUACUGGGUGUCUUGAGCCACUCAGGGGCUACCGGAACAAAUGGUGGAGCGGUGAAAUGCGUAGAUAUCAUUUGGAACGCCAAUGGUGAAAACAGGUAGCUGGGGGUGUGCUGACACUGAGACACGAAAGCCAGGGGAGCAAACGGG